AUCCCAGUAGCGUAAUGAAUAGCGCGUUAGAAUUCUAAUAUAAAGGGCUUAGGUUCGAACCCCACCUGGGAUG
Molecule: non-coding RNA, 73 nt
Organism: Trichonephila inaurata madagascariensis
Lineage: Eukaryota; Metazoa; Arthropoda; Arachnida; Araneae; Nephilidae
Source: the annotation of a GenBank genome assembly